Molecule: long non-coding RNA, 358 nt
Organism: Leptopilina boulardi
Lineage: Eukaryota; Metazoa; Arthropoda; Insecta; Hymenoptera; Figitidae
Exons: 3
Source: RefSeq, a predicted model, not a curated record
UUGACUUUCCUAACCAACAAAAUUGAAACACAUGUCAAACAUGUGUUUCAAAAAAGUUUUAUUUUUAAUUUUAAAUUUUUCAAAACAAUUUUCUUAAAACAAACAUAUAUAAAAUAAACAAUCUUUUCAAUUCAACUUUCAAAAUUAAUUAAAGAUGAUUAAAAUUAUUAUGUCUAAAUAAAAUAAACAAAAUUAAACAGACGUGACAAUGUCGAAAUGUAUCUGAUGAGGACACAGAAUUCUGUGUCGAAACGCGUCACAUUUUUAUGUCAAUUUUUGUAAUAAACUAAAAGCCAUUUAGGCCAAAAUGAAAAAAAACAUCUUUUAAUUGAAAUUUAUAUUAUGUUACUUUUUAACU